This 509-nucleotide ribosomal RNA is filed under the name uncultured bacterium. RNAcentral's name for it is "partial 16S ribosomal RNA". The record is from RNAcentral.
GGAGUUAGCCGGUGCUUCUUCUGUGAGUGAUGUCCUUCCUGCCGGCUAUUAACCCGCAGGCCUUCUUCCUCACUGAAAGUGCUUUACAACCCGAAGGCCUUCUUCACACACGCGGCAUGGCUGGAUCAGGGUUGCCCCCCAUUGUCCAAUAUUCCCCACUGCUGCCUCCCGUAGGAGUCUGGGCCGUGUCUCAGUCCCAGUGUGGCUGAUCAUCCUCUCAGACCAGCUACGGAUCGUCGCCUUGGUGAGCCGUUACCUCACCAACCAGCUAAUCCGACAUAGGCUCAUCCGAUAGCGCGAGGCCCGAAGGUCCCCCGCUUUCCCCCGUAGGGCGUAUGCGGUAUUAGCCUGGGUUUCCCCAGGUUAUCCCCCCACUACCGGGCAGAUUCCUAUGCAUUACUCACCCGUCCGCCGCUCGCCACCAGGGAGCAAGCUCCCCGUGCUGCCGCUCGACUUGCAUGUGUUAGGCCUGCCGCCAGCGUUCAAUCUGAGCCAUGAUCAAACUCUGA